This 1385-nucleotide ribosomal RNA is filed under the name Salmonella enterica subsp. enterica serovar Typhimurium. RNAcentral describes it as "bacterial LSU rRNA". The record is from RNAcentral. Lineage: Bacteria; Pseudomonadati; Pseudomonadota; Gammaproteobacteria; Enterobacterales; Enterobacteriaceae.
CGCUGAUGCGUUGUUGGGUAGGGGAGCGUUCUGCAAGCCUGUGAAGCGGUGUCGUGAGGCAUGCUGGAGGUAUCAGAAGUGCGAAUGCUGACAUAAGUAACGAUAAAGCGGGUGAAAAGCCCGCUCGCCGGAAGACCAAGGGUUCCUGUCCAACGUUAAUCGGGGCAGGGUGAGUCGACCCCUAAGGCGAGGCCGAAAGGCGUAGUCGAUGGGAAACGGGUUAAUAUUCCCGUACUUGGUGUUACUGCGAAGGGGGGACGGAGAAGGCUAUGUUGGCCGGGCGACGGUUGUCCCGGUUUAAGCGUGUAGGUGUGUGUUCCAGGUAAAUCCGGUUCACUUUAACACUGAGGCGUGACGACGAGGCACUACGGUGCUGAAGCAACAAAUGCCCUGCUUCCAGGAAAAGCCUCUAAGCAUCAGGUAACACGAAAUCGUACCCCAAACCGACACAGGUGGUCAGGUAGAGAAUACCAAGGCGCUUGAGAGAACUCGGGUGAAGGAACUAGGCAAAAUGGUGCCGUAACUUCGGGAGAAGGCACGCUGACACGUAGGUGAAGUGAUUUACUCAUGGAGCUGAAGUCAGUCGAAGAUACCAGCUGGCUGCAACUGUUUAUUAAAAACACAGCACUGUGCAAACACGAAAGUGGACGUAUACGGUGUGACGCCUGCCCGGUGCCGGAAGGUUAAUUGAUGGGGUCAGCGUAAGCGAAGCUCCUGAUCGAAGCCCCGGUAAACGGCGGCCGUAACUAUAACGGUCCUAAGGUAGCGAAAUUCCUUGUCGGGUAAGUUCCGACCUYACCCGACAAGGAAUUUCGCUACCUUAGGACCGUUAUAGUUACGGCCGCCGUUUACCGGGGCUUCGAUCAGGAGCUUCGCUUGCGCUGACCCCAUCAAUUAACCUUCCGGCACCGGGCAGGCGUCACACCGUAUACGUCCACUUUCGUGUUUGCACAGUGCUGUGUUUUUAAUAAACAGUUGCAGCCAGCUGGUAUCUUCGACUGACUUCAGCUCCGUGAGUAAAUCACUUCACCUACGUGUCAGCGUGCCUUCUCCCGAAGUUACGGCACCAUUUUGCCUAGUUCCUUCACCCGAGUUCUCUCAAGCGCCUUGGUAUUCUCUACCUGACCACCUGUGUCGGUUUGGGGUACGAUUUGAUGUUACCUGAUGCUUAGAGGCUUUUCCUGGAAGCAGGGCAUUUGUUGCUUCAGCACCGUAGUGCCUCGUCAUCACGCCUCAGUGUUAAAGUGAACCGGAUUUACCUGGAACACACACCUACACGCUUAAACCGGGACAACCGUCGCCCGGCCAACAUAGCCUUCUCCGUCCCCCCUUCGCAGUAACACCAAGUACGGGAAUAUUAACCCGUUUCCCAUCGACUACGCCUU